UGCAAUGCGAGCCUCUCUCUUUCUUGAAAUCAGUGGCUCAAUUUCUUCCAGGUUUUCGGCAAACCAAUCAGGAUUUCUCCUCUUCUGGAUACCGAGGACCUCUUCCGCGGAUUUGGUGAGCGCAGUUUUCAAGUGCUCCCAGUCUGAGUGGACAGUGGCAGGAAGGGUCCGAGGUUGAGUGUCCAGUUUGUCCGCGAGGGACGUCUGGUACUGUUCGAGGACUUUGGGAUUCCUCAGCAGCCCAACAUUGAAACGUAUCCUCUUGGGGAUCUUCUUCCUUCUUUUCGCAGGCGCGAUCUUUAGCCUAAGUCUUGAGGCUACCAGCCUGUGAUCGGACCAUCCGUCAUCCAUGGAGCGGAUUGCCCUCGUGACCAUGACGUCCGCUCGGUCGCAGAUGCGGUUGCCAACGCCUUCCUUCCCCAGAAUCCCUCCCCAAAGCUGAUGGUCCCGGCCCACCCGCGCGUUGAAAUUCCCCAGAACCAAGAGCUUAUCCCGGGGGUUGACGCGGAGGAUCAGGCCACGCAGCGCGGCAUAGAAGGACUCCUUCGCCUCCUCCGAGGCGUCCAGGGUAGCUCGUCCGCUCCAGAAGAAGGUGUACCCGUGCCGAGGCUCCUCGAUCUGCCCGGCACCAGGGAGACGGGUCUCGGAGAGGGCAACAAUGUCCAGGCCGAGCUUCUGAAUCUCAAGGGCGAUGAGGGCAGUCCUGCGCUCCGGUCUAUUUGCUCUUGCGUUGUCCAUCAGGGAUGAAUCUGCUGGAGGCGGGUCUCCAGCCGAUCGGUGGCGGUGAUGGGCGUGUUUAGGCCGCCUUUUAUUGGCCCUUCCUCGGAUUGAGGGGAGCAGCGCUACGACUAAAGAGUCCUGCUCCGCCACCGUGGUCGCUGCCUCUCCCCUGCACCAUCACCAGUUCGCAAGGGGAGCGACCUUCGUGCCACGGCCGCCGACAUGUGGUUGUGGAACUAGGGACGUGGGCCCUCAUCUGAGCCUGUCCCCGACGCCCCGCGCCAUCGCCGCCGGACUUCUUGAGGUGAAGGGGAUCGGGAGAAGGGGGACGGGUCGCAACCCCGCCCCCGCACUUCGACCCCGUGGCCAGGGUCCACGGCAGCGCGGUGGACGACGGUGCGCCGGGCCCUGUGUUUUAUUUUGAAGGGUGGGCAUUCCUUCAUAACCCAAGGUGGAUGGUCGGCUUGGGGAUCCGGUCCGCCGCCUUGCUAGGCGCUUAACGCCAGGACUGCGGUGGAUUUGUAUACCGCCGGACGCGGUCCCGCGGGAUUUUACUGACCCGAAGGUCAUUACCACUUCGCACCAACUCUCCAGUGAUGGAAAGUCUCGUCAAUUCGGCGUGGAGGCUCCCUUACGGACUUCACUGCGAUCCACUAGGAAUUGCCGACGGUUUGAUCCGCACCUUUGAGCCUAGGGAUCGCAGAUCUUUGCGAAGCUUUAACCGAAAGGGGGAAAAAACAGGAGAAAGAAAAGUCGGCUCCUAUUAAGAGUAGUUCCCGAUUAGGAGCCGGCUCACGUAGUUCACGUCAAAGUACAGGCUCUAAGAGACGGUUCGUUCGCGAACGACACAUCACUACUGCACUUUAGUUGUGUCUUAGUGACUUACAGUGUACUGAAGUUUACACCAAAUUUGUGUGGCAGAAUUAUCUUGCCUUUAUCUUAUUGCCCGGUAAUGUGUAAUAAAUCUGACAAUGUUUGUUGUAGUAAAUAUUCAUUAUUGAUUGAACAAUAAAUUCGAAAGUACCUUGAAAAAAAAUGCAAAUUAUAUCUCAGUUGCAAUUUUGUUGAAAAAAAUAAAAUAAAAUUACAUUCGUUUCCAGAAGUCAUUCAGCCCUAAUUCGUAGACACAAUUGGAUGAAAUAAUCAAGCCAAUAUACACUACACUCAUCAUGUACAGGUGGUCAAGUGAG
Molecule: long non-coding RNA, 1910 nt
Organism: Hippocampus zosterae (dwarf seahorse)
Lineage: Eukaryota; Metazoa; Chordata; Actinopteri; Syngnathiformes; Syngnathidae
Exons: 4
Source: RefSeq, a predicted model, not a curated record